Molecule: transfer RNA, 610 nt
Filed under: uncultured Prochlorococcus sp.
Lineage: Bacteria; Bacillati; Cyanobacteriota; Cyanophyceae; Synechococcales; Prochlorococcaceae
Description: partial contains 16S ribosomal RNA, 16S-23S ribosomal RNA intergenic spacer, and 23S ribosomal RNA
Rfam family: tRNA (bases 227-299)
Source: RNAcentral
UGGAUCACCUCCUAACAGGGAGACAACAAAAUGUUUAGUAUUAUUAUUUUGUCACCUUAGGUCGAUCGGUAUCUCACAUUCUUAAUUAAUUAAGAAUUUCAUUUCCUAAGUUUUUCUAGGUCACACCCAUUAUUUUUCCUGGGCCAUUAGCUCAGGUGGUUAGAGCGCACCCCUGAUAAGGGUGAGGUCCCUGGUUCAAGUCCAGGAUGGCCCAUAUCUCUAUGUUGGGGGUAUAGCUCAGUUGGUAGAGCGCCUGCUUUGCAAGCAGGAUGUCAGCGGUUCGAGUCCGCUUACCUCCACUGAUUACCACCUCUUCCAUAAUCUGUAGAAAGGAAAUGUUUUGAGUUGUGAUCAAAUUCUGAACGAAUCUAGCUUCCUAAUGAAACCAUUAAGAUGCUGGACUCAUUGAAUUAAUUUCAUUGUUUUCAGAGAACCUUGACAACUGCAUAGAUUAUUUUUAAAGACAAUAAGCAUCUUUAUUGAUGCAGAUUUAUUAUUUGUGCGAACGCACUAAUAACAAUUCUAUUAAGCUGAUGCUUCAAUUUUGAAGUUAUUGGUCAAGCUACAAAGGGCUCACGGAGGAUACCUAGGCACACAGAGGCGAUGAAGG